Non-coding RNA from Malus domestica (apple), 73 nucleotides. Lineage: Eukaryota; Viridiplantae; Streptophyta; Magnoliopsida; Rosales; Rosaceae. The record is from the annotation of a RefSeq genome assembly.
GAUCGCAUAGCGGAGCGGAUAUUGCAUUAGACUCACGAUCUAAAGGUCGUGGGUUCGAAUCCCACUGCGAUAG